This is a long non-coding RNA of Magallana angulata, 392 nucleotides long. RefSeq lists it as uncharacterized. NCBI's taxonomy places the organism in Eukaryota, Metazoa, Mollusca, Bivalvia, Ostreida, Ostreidae. The transcript has 3 exons. The record is from RefSeq and is a predicted model, not a curated record.
CAAGUAUAUAAACUUGCGCACACUUUUUUGAUGUGGAACAUACAUGUAUCUAUGUAAAAGAAGUGGAUGUCAGACCUAAAGAAUGAAUCGCAACACCCAACCCUCAAGAACGUUUGCUCAUGGUGUACAGACAGCAAACCAUACAGUGCAGAUCACUGAGACAGAAUCGGGCUUUGAUGCAUUUUAUUGGAUGGCAUGUGGCAACGCGGGAAGGAGGGACCAAUUCAUCCAUAUUUUUUUUUACCGACAUUGGCCCUUUUUUCUACAUAGAGAAACUUAAUUCUUAUCAGAUGCAACUGGCUUUUCCACUUAUUACGAAAAGUAUGAUUUAUUACAUUGAAAAUUAAUGCAUAAAAUUUUUUAAGCGUAGUUCUUGCACUAAAUAGAUUGUU